This 117-nucleotide ribosomal RNA is filed under the name Peptoclostridium litorale. RNAcentral also lists the same sequence under 1 other name. Lineage: Bacteria; Bacillati; Bacillota; Clostridia; Peptostreptococcales; Peptoclostridiaceae. The record is from RNAcentral.
UCUGGUUACUAUAGCAAGGAGGAUACACCUGUUCCCAUACCGAACACAGAAGUUAAGCUCCUUAGCGCCGAAGGUACUCGGACCGGAAGGUCCCGGGAGAAUAGGCCGUAGCCAGGU